This is a transfer RNA of Yarrowia lipolytica, 83 nucleotides long. It matches the Rfam family "tRNA". Rfam says of the family: Transfer RNA (tRNA) molecules are approximately 80 nucleotides in length. Their secondary structure includes four short double-helical elements and three loops (D, anti-codon, and T loops). Further hydrogen bonds mediate the characteristic L-shaped molecular structure. tRNAs have two regions of fundamental functional importance: the anti-codon, which is responsible for specific mRNA codon recognition, and the 3' end, to which the tRNAs corresponding amino acid is attached (by aminoacyl-tRNA synthetases). tRNAs cope with the degeneracy of the genetic code in two manners: having more than one tRNA (with a specific anti-codon) for a particular amino acid; and 'wobble' base-pairing, i.e. permitting non-standard base-pairing at the 3rd anti-codon position. NCBI's taxonomy places the organism in Eukaryota, Fungi, Ascomycota, Dipodascomycetes, Dipodascales. The record is from Rfam.
GCCUGGCUAGCUCAAUCGGUAGAGCGUGAGACUCUUAUUAGUAAGUAAUCUCAAGGCUGUGGGUUCAAGCCCCACGUCGGGCU